Molecule: non-coding RNA, 72 nt
Organism: Ostrea edulis (European flat oyster)
Lineage: Eukaryota; Metazoa; Mollusca; Bivalvia; Ostreida; Ostreidae
Source: the annotation of a RefSeq genome assembly
GCCUGGAUAGCUCAGUGGUUAGAGCACCUGACUAGCAAUGCAGGGUCUCAGGUUCGAUUCCCGGUCCAGACA